Molecule: ribosomal RNA, 476 nt
Filed under: uncultured Thiomonas sp.
Lineage: Bacteria; Pseudomonadati; Pseudomonadota; Betaproteobacteria; Burkholderiales
Description: bacterial SSU rRNA
Rfam family: Bacterial small subunit ribosomal RNA
Source: RNAcentral
CCAUGCAGUCAAACGGCAGCGCGGGGUAACCUGGCGGCGAGUGGCGAACGGGUGAGUAAUACAUCGGAACGUGCCCUGUGAUGGGGGAUAACUACGCGAAAGCGUAGCUAAUACCGCAUACGACCUAAGGGUGAAAGUGGGGGAUCGCAAGACCUCACGUCAUAGGAGCGGCCGAUGGCGGAUUAGCUAGUUGGUGAGGUAAAGGCUUACCAAGGCAACGAUCCGUAGCUGGUCUGAGAGGACGACCAGCCACACUGGGACUGAGACACGGCCCAGACUCCUACGGGAGGCAGCAGUGGGGAAUCUUGGACAAUGGGGGCAACCCUGAUCCAGCAAUGCCGCGUGUGGGAUGAAGGCCUUCGGGUUGUAAACCACUUUUGGCGGGGGCGAAAUAUCGAGUGCUAAUACCAUUCGGUGAUGACGGUACCCGCAGAAUAAGCACCGGCUAACUACGUGCCAGCAGCCCGGGGUAAUAC